GGGUAGGUGCCCGAGUGGCUAAAGGGGACGGACUGUAAAUCCGUUGACUUGCGUCUACGAAGGUUCGAAUCCUUCCCUGCCCACCA
RNAcentral lists this transfer RNA (86 nucleotides) under Bdellovibrio bacteriovorus. Its description in RNAcentral is "tRNA-Tyr". It matches the Rfam family "tRNA". Rfam says of the family: Transfer RNA (tRNA) molecules are approximately 80 nucleotides in length. Their secondary structure includes four short double-helical elements and three loops (D, anti-codon, and T loops). RNAcentral also lists the same sequence under 3 other names. The record is from RNAcentral. Lineage: Bacteria; Pseudomonadati; Bdellovibrionota; Bdellovibrionia; Bdellovibrionales; Pseudobdellovibrionaceae.